AUGUCAUCGCCGAUCAAUUACAUCUUCAUGGAAUCUCUCGACAAAUGUGUCAUGAUCAUCAUCAACAUUCUGAGCUUUUUCAGGAUAUCAAACAAAUUAAUGAGGGGAAAUACAAUCCUUCCCCUCAAUGAUUUAUGUUAUCAUCGACAACAUUCUUGCCUUCCCCAACACAAACUUGUUCAUAUAAUUUUGGAAAUACAUCCUUUUUGGCCUACUAGAUUGGUUGUUCUUGCCAUGGGAGAAGUGCUUAGCUUUGGGUUCGAUCUUGUGGUAUCCUUUCCCAGUGACAGAAGGGGCAGCAAGGCACGUAUUGUAUCGUUGCCAUCGAGGAUAACAAGAUGGGGUUUUUAUCAUAUUGCAUGA
RNAcentral lists this ribosomal RNA (363 nucleotides) under Triticum aestivum (bread wheat). RNAcentral describes it as "partial small subunit ribosomal RNA". The record is from RNAcentral. Lineage: Eukaryota; Viridiplantae; Streptophyta; Magnoliopsida; Poales; Poaceae.